RNAcentral lists this unclassified non-coding RNA (194 nucleotides) under uncultured Hypocreales. Its description in RNAcentral is "sequence contains ITS1". The record is from RNAcentral. Lineage: Eukaryota; Fungi; Ascomycota; Sordariomycetes; Hypocreales.
UCGAGUUUUACAACUCCCAAACCCCCUGUGAACUUAUACCUUUACUGUUGCUUCGGCGGGCUUGCCCCGGGAACAGGCUCGCUCGCUCGCUAGGGCCCUAGCGAGCCGGCCCGGAACCAGGCGCGCGCCGGGGGACCUUCGACUCUCGUAUUUUUCUCUGGCAUGUCUGAGUGGACUUUAUGUAAAAUGAACUA